RNAcentral lists this ribosomal RNA (1161 nucleotides) under Spirirestis atacamensis ATA2-3-CV2. Its description in RNAcentral is "bacterial SSU rRNA". It matches the Rfam family "Bacterial small subunit ribosomal RNA", at positions 356 to 1531 of the family's 1533-position model. The record is from RNAcentral. Lineage: Bacteria; Bacillati; Cyanobacteriota; Cyanophyceae; Nostocales; Tolypothrichaceae.
GGGGAAUUUUCCGCAAUGGGCGAAAGCCUGACGGAGCAAUACCGCGUGAGGGAGGAAGGCUCUUGGGUUGUAAACCUCUUUUCUCAGGGAAGAAUAAAUGACGGUACCUGAGGAAUAAGCAUCGGCUAACUCCGUGCCAGCAGCCGCGGUAAUACGGAGGAUGCAAGCGUUAUCCGGAAUGAUUGGGCGUAAAGCGUCCGCAGGUGGCUGUGUAAGUCUGCUGUUAAAGAGUCUGGCUCAACCAGAUAAAGGCAGUGGAAACUACAUGGCUAGAGUGCGUUCGGGGCAGAGGGAAUUCCUGGUGUAGCGGUGAAAUGCGUAGAGAUCAGGAAGAACACCGGUGGCGAAAGCGCUCUGCUAGGCCGCAACUGACACUGAGGGACGAAAGCUAGGGGAGCGAAUGGGAUUAGAUACCCCAGUAGUCCUAGCCGUAAACGAUGGAUACUAGGCGUGGCUUGUAUCGACCCGAGCCGUGCCGUAGCUAACGCGUUAAGUAUCCCGCCUGGGGAGUACGCAGGCAACUGUGAAACUCAAAGGAAUUGACGGGGGCCCGCACAAGCGGUGGAGUAUGUGGUUUAAUUCGAUGCAACGCGAAGAACCUUACCAGGACUUGACAUGUCGCGAAUCCGAGUGAAAGCUUGGAGUGCCUUCGGGAGCGCGAACACAGGUGGUGCAUGGCUGUCGUCAGCUCGUGUCGUGAGAUGUUGGGUUAAGUCCCGCAACGAGCGCAACCCUCGUUUUUAGUUGCCAGCAUUAAGUUGGGCACUCUAGAGAGACUGCCGGUGACAAACCGGAGGAAGGUGGGGAUGACGUCAAGUCAGCAUGCCCCUUACGUUCUGGGCUACACACGUACUACAAUGCUACGGACAAAGGGCAGCAAGCAUGCGAAUGCAAGCUAAUCUCAUAAACCGUGGCUCAGUUCAGAUCGCAGGCUGCAACUCGCCUGCGUGAAGGAGGAAUCGCUAGUAAUUGCAGGUCAGCAUACUGCAGUGAAUUCGUUCCCGGGCCUUGUACACACCGCCCGUCACACCAUGGAAGCUGGUAGUGCCCGAAGUCAUUACCCCAACUGUUCGCAGAGGGGGAUGCCUAAGGCAGGACUGGUGACUGGGGUGAAGUCGUAACAAGGUAGCCGUACCGGAAGGUGUGGCUGGAUCACCUCCU